UCGUGCUAGACGGGGAGGUAGCGGCGCCCUGUAACCCGCAAUCCGCUCUAGCGGGGUUGAAUUCCUCAUUUGAGGCAUCGUAAUUGUUUGGUCUGCCCUUGACAA
This 105-nucleotide signal recognition particle RNA is filed under the name Listeria monocytogenes. Its description in RNAcentral is "partial signal recognition particle sRNA large type". It matches the Rfam family "Bacterial large signal recognition particle RNA", at positions 1 to 100 of the family's 256-position model. Rfam says of the family: The signal recognition particle (SRP) is a universally conserved ribonucleoprotein involved in the co-translational targeting of proteins to membranes. Archaeal SRP consists of a 7S RNA and homologues of the eukaryotic SRP19 and SRP54 proteins. In most bacteria, the SRP consists of a 4.5S RNA and the Ffh protein (a homologue of the eukaryotic SRP54 protein). Lineage: Bacteria; Bacillati; Bacillota; Bacilli; Caryophanales; Listeriaceae. The record is from RNAcentral.